GCCGUGGCCUACUGGUUAGCGCUUCUGACUUGUAACCGGAGGGUUGCCGGUUCGAACCCUGACCAGUAGGCA
Molecule: transfer RNA, 72 nt
Filed under: Alosa alosa (allis shad)
Lineage: Eukaryota; Metazoa; Chordata; Actinopteri; Clupeiformes; Clupeidae
Description: tRNA-OTHER
Source: RNAcentral